RNAcentral lists this ribosomal RNA (839 nucleotides) under uncultured bacterium. RNAcentral describes it as "bacterial SSU rRNA". It matches the Rfam family "Bacterial small subunit ribosomal RNA", at positions 62 to 868 of the family's 1533-position model. The record is from RNAcentral.
UCGAGCGAGCGGAACUAAAGAUUUACUUCGGUAAUGACGUUAGGAAAGCGAGCGGCGGAUGGGUGAGUAACACGUGGGGAACCUGCCCCAUAGUCUGGGAUACCACUUGGAAACAGGUGCUAAUACCGGAUAAGAAAGCAGAUCGCAUGAUCAGCUUUUAAAAGGCGGCGUAAGCUGUCGCUAUGGGAUGGCCCCGCGGUGCAUUAGCUAGUUGGUAAGGUAAAGGCUUACCAAGGCGAUGAUGCAUAGCCGAGUUGAGAGACUGAUCGGCCACAUUGGGACUGAGACACGGCCCAAACUCCUACGGGAGGCAGCAGUAGGGAAUCUUCCACAAUGGACGCAAGUCUGAUGGAGCAACGCCGCGUGAGUGAAGAAGGUUUUCGGAUCGUAAAGCUCUGUUGUUGGUGAAGAAGGAUAGAGGUAGUAACUGGCCUUUAUUUGACGGUAAUCAACCAGAAAGUCACGGCUAACUACGUGCCAGCAGCCGCGGUAAUACGUAGGUGGCAAGCGUUGUCCGGAUUUAUUGGGCGUAAAGCGAGCGCAGGCGGAAGAAUAAGUCUGAUGUGAAAGCCCUCGGCUUAACCGAGGAACUGCAUCGGAAACUGUUUUUCUUGAGUGCAGAAGAGGAGAGUGGAACUCCAUGUGUAGCGGUGGAAUGCGUAGAUAUAUGGAAGAACACCAGUGGCGAAGGCGGCUCUCUGGUCUGCAACUGACGCUGAGGCUCGAAAGCAUGGGUAGUGAACAGGAUUAGAUACCCUGGUAGUCCAUGCCGUANACGAUGAGUGCUAAGUGUUGGGAGGUUUCCGCCUCUCAGUGCUGCAGCUAACGCAUUAAGCACU